This 239-nucleotide ribosomal RNA is filed under the name uncultured Chlamydiales bacterium. Its description in RNAcentral is "partial 16S ribosomal RNA". It matches the Rfam family "Bacterial small subunit ribosomal RNA", at positions 44 to 302 of the family's 1533-position model. The record is from RNAcentral. Lineage: Bacteria; Pseudomonadati; Chlamydiota; Chlamydiia; Chlamydiales.
GUGGAUGAGGCAUGCAAGUCGAGCGACAAGGUACUUCGGUACUGGAGGAGCGGCAAACGGGGUAGUAAGACAUCGGAACGUACCCUCUUGUCCGGGAUACCCGCGGGAAACUGCGGUUAAUACCGGAUAAUCCCGAAAGGGCAAAGGUCCGCCGCGGGAGGAGCGGCCGAUGCGAUAUCAGCUAGUUGGUGAGGUAACGGCUCACCAAGGCUUAGACGUCUAGGCGGAUUGAGAGAUUG